GAGGGUAGAGCUCAGUAGUAGAGCACGUGCUUAGCAUGCAGGAUGUGCUGGGUUCAAUCCCCAGUACCUCCA
RNAcentral lists this transfer RNA (72 nucleotides) under Camelus bactrianus (Bactrian camel). It matches the Rfam family "tRNA". Rfam says of the family: Transfer RNA (tRNA) molecules are approximately 80 nucleotides in length. Their secondary structure includes four short double-helical elements and three loops (D, anti-codon, and T loops). Further hydrogen bonds mediate the characteristic L-shaped molecular structure. tRNAs have two regions of fundamental functional importance: the anti-codon, which is responsible for specific mRNA codon recognition, and the 3' end, to which the tRNAs corresponding amino acid is attached (by aminoacyl-tRNA synthetases). tRNAs cope with the degeneracy of the genetic code in two manners: having more than one tRNA (with a specific anti-codon) for a particular amino acid; and 'wobble' base-pairing, i.e. permitting non-standard base-pairing at the 3rd anti-codon position. RNAcentral also lists the same sequence under 1 other name. The record is from Rfam by way of RNAcentral. Lineage: Eukaryota; Metazoa; Chordata; Mammalia; Artiodactyla; Camelidae.